Long non-coding RNA from Struthio camelus australis, 6827 nucleotides. RefSeq lists it as uncharacterized. NCBI's taxonomy places the organism in Eukaryota, Metazoa, Chordata, Aves, Struthioniformes, Struthionidae. The record is from RefSeq and is a predicted model, not a curated record.
GGAAGACACAGUACAUCUUCGCUCGCCAUCAUUUUUGGCUGUUGAGGAGAAAGGAUUGAAGGAUGCUUCACAAUCAGCAACUGCACAGAUUCCGUGAGCUACACUUUGGUCCUAUCAAGACAGGCAGGCAGCUGCAUGAGAGGUGGAAAGAGAGAGAAAAUGACUGAGAUGAAAUCACCAACAACAGCUAUUGCAGGAAGAAAGGCACUGUUGGAUCUCAGCCACAGUACUUCUGCAACCUGGUUUGAAUGGGCCUGAUGGGAUGCCAUAAUGGAACCUACACCGAACAAGGUGCGUCUAUCUCAUCUCCUCAGGCAUUCUUGUCAUGGCCACUUGAGAGCCUGGUGAGGAAGAGCAGUGACUGGAAGAGACCAGGUGAAAAACAGACGGAUGGCUUGGAGAUUUAGCCCUCUGCUGGUUCUGUACUUCUGCAACAGAAGAACUUCUGCAACAGCUGAACUUCCAGUAGAUCUGAGCACUGUCCAUAAUAAUAUCAGAUUUCUUGGUUGCCUAACAGGCCAGCUUACUGCUGCCCGAGAAAUACUGCUAGGAAGUCAAGGCUAAGUAUUGUUAACAACAGUGGGGUUAUGACCUGGAAACAUAGUGGAGAAACUGAAUGGGCUAGUAGUGAAAAUGUAUGUAGCAGUUGAAAAGAUGGCAGUACCGGUGUGUGUGUAGAUCUAUAUGUAUUUGGAUAUAGAUAAACCAGAAUCUACAUUAAGGGAAUGUCACAAACACUACAAAUUCAAGGACUCAAAUAUAGUUCAGUUCAACCUUUGAACAAGGGUAAAAAAGGAUUUGAGAUAUUCUCUGUGCACUUGAAGUAGCUAGCAACAACAUGAUGGCAGUUCUAAGUAAAGGGCUUUAAUCAGAGUAUAUAAAAAGACUGGAAGGAUGUUUGAACAACAUGUCCAGCUCCCAAGCAUUGUCUCUUUCCUGCUAUCAGUGACACCCAUUGUGCAAUAACAACAUUUGCACAGAGAUGCGUCCUGCUUUGCAGAGAGAGAAUAUACUGAAGCAGCCAUAGGGCUGUGCUAGCCUUGGCUAGAAGAGUCCCCAAGGGCCUGUCUGCCAGCUGCUGACUGAUGUAGAGCUGCUGCUGCUGAUAAUAGGGUACAUGCUCCAACUCCAAGCUGAACUAGACAAUCCUGGGCACAGUCAGAUGUGCUCACAGGGAUCAAGUUCAAGCCUGUUUAAGGAGUUAGUUCCCGUCAGUGCUGAUUUAAGCUAAGGAGUUUUGCUGUGUAUUGGAAAGGACUAGGAAUGCUCACAGAGUCAGCUACUUCAUCUUGGCUGUCAUAGUGGUGAUUUCAACAGAGCCAGGGGAGUCGGAAAGACAACAAACAGCUGAGAUCUGUAACUUCUUAAAUCAUGCAGACACAAGCUGCAAAAGGUGUAUUUCCAUUAGAUGUAUGCCUGCUUGUACGUACUAAAACUAUGCUUUUUCAAAAUAGUUUAGGCAAGAGGUGCCUAAACUUCUUUACCUAAACUUUCUUUGAAACUUCUUCAUUCCACACUGGAAGUGGUUGGUGGUGGUUGAACAUUGCUGAUAUAUUCAGGCGUGCAACUGCAGCAGGCAAAAUGACAGGGCAAAAUGACACAAAUUUUUGCUGUAGAGAUUGAUAUAUUAUUGUCGGAGAGCAAACGUAAAUUUCCCCCACUCUACUGAAUGCUCUCACAGCAGAGGAAAUUAAAAAAUGAUCAUUGCAAGGUUCAAUAGAAUGUAAAUACACUAAUAAUUAGGCAAAAGCAUAUUGUACGUGACAUCUGUGUUAAUGUCACCCAAAUUCAUCAUUAACCAUGUUCCUUCUAGGAGUAUUCCACAUGUGCUAAGCAGGAUCUGCUUUUGUGUGAACAGUUUCACACCAUCCGGUAACACUGAGAUCAGCUAUGUGGUCUUCCAGGCUUGGGAGCAAGAAUUGGCUGUGUAUCAGAAUAGUCAUAUUGUGAGAUUACUGAGCGCAGCUCUUCUGUGUUUCCCAAAAUUGUUCAGUGUCUUCACCAGAGGAGCUUGCAUUACAGAGCAGGAAAGGCAACUAAGGAUCUUCUGAGUGAUUAUCACCUCCUGAAAGUAUUAAUUGCACAUUCCCAUGCAGAAACCUAGUUGUGGAGUGGCAGUUCAGCUGUAACUGUUCAACUUUUUCCUGAGAGAUUCCUAGUGAGGGCACCCUUAGGCAGAUCCAGCACCCUAAGGCAGAUCCACAAAAGUAUCUCAGUGUCUAAGCCCUAAGUAGGCCCCUGAGCUAUAUAACAGAAAUCAAAUGCUGAGGUUCCCAUUGGUUUAUGUUAAGAGGAGUUGAGGUAUUGAAAAAAAAAAAAAAAAGGCACAGUAAGUAAGUGCCUACUCUGCCUUGGACACACUAAGGUGAAACAAAGAUGACUUCUAUCUAGAAUAAAUUGUUCUGUUUUCUAAGUGAUCACUUUAUAGUGAAAAUGCAGGUGAAGAAACACAAGAAAAAAGACUUAAAACUUGUUACCUUGGCAAAGCUCUCUUUGACCAUAAUAGAAUUUUACCUUUGCAUGGAUUAAGAGAACAGCGGAAUCUGAACAGCUGGUCGCUUAGUUAGGUUGUUGGUGUUUCUAAACCUGUAAUAAGACUGUACUGAAUGUGAAUAUCUUAUGAUCUGAAUACAGAGAUCUUUUACCAUUGCUCAAGGCCUCUUGAAGGCAAUGCACACAACAUACAAAUGGAAGCUGUAAUCUAUAAUGCCACAAAUCCUUUAGGAGGAUUAUCUCUGUUAUCUCAUCUGACAUCAGAGAAUUACAUGUAAUAUAGACACGUAAAUGGCUUAGUCACAGAAAGAUCCUUUAGAAAAGAAUAGGAGAGAAGAAAUUUUGUAAGUCUCUAGGUAGGGGAGAAGAGGGAAGGCUGUUCAAAUGAGAAAUGGACCGCAGCUAAAAUCUUGUCUGGGUAGAUCUGUAGAUCUCGCUUACUUCAGAGAAUUAGCCAAGGGAGCUGCGUCCUCACUGUCUUGUUUUGCAUGUAGUCAUUUACACCUCUGCAAAGGCUGGAUGCCACACAUGCUUGUGCCUCCACUUCCCUCUGGCUGUCCUCAGCCAAUUCGCAUGAAUGUCAGGGGCUAUGCAAGAAGUAAGGCAAUGAAGGAUUAAACUGUUGUAGCUCCAUGUUGGCCAGACAAAAGCCUUGGAUUUUAAUAACUUGAACCCAGGAUAGGGUCGUUUGACCUAUAACACUUAGCAGCACAGCUAGACAGAAGAUUUACUCAUUGCAAGGCCAGCCUAGAUUCAUCUUUCAGGGUUCUGCUCUCCUACUGCCUUCACUUAUUUUUCUUUAUAGGACCUUGCUGGUUUCUUCAGAGCGAAAACUGACAAGUAUGAUGUGAUUUCCUGUCGUCUGUGCCUUUUGUUAUGCCUCCUACCUGUCUUGCCUCUUUUUCUACCCAGGAAAAUGAGGCUCUAACCUAGUCUUGUCCACUUGCUUGCCUUCUAGUUACCUCUCCUUCUCAUGUAUAUAUCAAUCGCCCUACUUUUCCCCUUAAAUUUCCACUCUGGCUUUUUUUUUUUUUUUUAACCAACAAUAAAAGUAGCAUUGGUCUUUCCCUUCUUAAAAAUACUUAUCUAUCAGAAUACCUUCCCUCUCCAGUUACCAACCAAUUACCAACUCUUUCCUUCCUUUUAUUUCUAAUUGCAUCUCUGACAGCACUGAAUGUGUUGUUUAUUGCCUAUAUGCCAAUGUCAGAGGUGCUGCCCUAGACCCUCUCCAAUCCAGCAUCUACACUUCUCAUUCAUCUGAAAUCACUCUCACCAAACUUUUUAAUGAUGGUAGGACAAAAGGAAAAGAAGGGAAAGGAUAUGUUGGCAAACCCUGUAAUUUUCAAUACCUAGUUUAUAUUCUUGUGUUUUAGGAACUGAUUAAAAACCUACUGAAACUAAUGAAAUCUUUCCAAUAAUGUAAUGGUCUUUAAACUAGGACUAGUAAAAUUACACAUUGUGUGAGUUAGGGUUCAAGAAGGAAUUCGAGUAGUUUUGUGCAUACAUGGCUCAUUUCCUGUAGCUUUCACACUGUCCUUUCCACUCCACUGACCUCUGUCUGAUCGUAUACAAUCUCUUUUAUAUUCACUCUUGCAGGAUAAGUAGUUGGAUGUGCAUAGAAGAAUGUUCCAUUUUCUGAAAGAAUUUCUUGGAUUCCCUGAAGAGAUUAGUACAGAAUUUUAAUUAGGGGCAUUGGCAGAGUUCCCAUAUGCUGGUAUAUUAGGCUGUGGUUUUCAUUUUCAUCCCCCAUUUUGGUUCCUCUAUUUCAAUGGAAGUAUGAGAAUGAUGACUAGUGAAUGGUGUACGUUUUUUUGCUCCAAUAUUUGUCCCUCCCAUUGAUACGGAUGAGUCAUGAUUAGCAGCGAAGUCCUGUCUUUUUUUACUAGAGGCUGGUGAUGUUGCCCGAUGUGCUGAAGCCAACUGUCCAAAAGUUAUCAGAGUUGGAAGUGACCAGUAAAGUUUCCACUAAAACUCUGGAAGGCGUACAGGAUGCAAGUGUCAUUAAUUAAGUUCUAAGAAACUACAGUGCUGUGGGAACCUGGCGUAAAAUACACAAGCUGAACUUUGUUUGCAACUUCCUUCUAUUUAGGGAUUCAUUAAAGGGCUGAAGCAUUUGUAGUGAUUUCAGGACCCAGUGCUAGAAUAGCUAAUUGCUGGCUUGGUCUUUUGUAUACAGUGUAGCACAUAAAAGGACUGUGAUCAAAGAAUGCAGGUGCUGCUGAGGGCAAUGAGAAUGCAAGUAUGGUGAUUGCUUGCCGGAUACAAUAUAUAACAUUUCAUUUAACUGCACUUUGCUUUGGUCCAUGAUUGGAUUUUGUAGGAACUGCUGAAUGAUUUUGACUGAAGUGACUCAAAUGCAUUGUUUAAGCAGAGCCAAAAGUUUAUACCUCCUCUUUCAUCUUCCUCCUGCUUCCCCACCCCGUCCCCUUCUAGCACCUGAGGGAAACAUAACCACUGGUGCAGAUCUAACUUAGACUAAGGCUUAUUGUAAGCUGAAGCUGCUUUCACCUUCCCCCGCUUGUUAGAGGUGGCUAUCACAGUUAAUUUCUCCUGGAUCCAUGGUCUUGUAGUGGAGGAGAACCAAGUUACACAGUACAGCUUGGCUUAACUACCUUCACAGUGAGAGCUUAAGAAACUAUAAAUAAUGAAUCUUAUGACUGUAUUUACAAGACGUAGAUUUUCUUCAGUUCUUGCUGUAACUGUUCCCAUCUUGUCAAUCUUUUCUUGCUAUAUUAAUGGAAUGUUCUCACCAAAUGGUAAAGAGAAGUCUGUGGCAAACUAUUGUAAGUAAGUGGAGUUGUGGACCCUGUCUUGGAGAGCACGCAUGAGUAAUUAGAUAAUAUGGCCUUCUGUCAACCCUUUUUAGCGGGAGGGGUUAAAAUCUGUAUUUUCAGGCCAAGAGCAGGUGUCUGUGAUGAGAUCCCAUGCUGUGACAUGCAUGCAGCACAUUCUUACAUGAAAAGCCCUGGCUGAUGAAAUGCCCACAGGAAGAUAACGUGGAACCCUCCUGGCAUGAUCAGAAGAAGUUUAAUUGAGCUCUGUGCUUUGCCUUGUGUUAUUAUGAUUUUACACUAAGGAACUUAAAACUUCUAAUUUCUAUGAAGCAACUUAAGAAAUGCUUUGUCUAUGCAUAACUGUGUCCAUUGUAAUAAUGGUUAAGCAGAGAGUUGAAAAGUGAAGCCACUCAGUGAGUCAGUGAUGAAACUGGAAAGUCAAGACUAAAGUCUCCAUGUCCAUCUUAAUGCAGAACAUGUGGUGAAAAACUGUACCCUAGCUAUACAGGGAUUUAUGGAGUGGCAAAGAACAGCUUGUGGCUUCAUAAACACCUUUGUAUUUUUUCGAUAUAAGAAUUUGUUCUUUUUUUUCUUAUUUUUUUAGCUCAAAACAGUCUAGGUCCUUCUUAAACAUGAAAGAAGGCUGCAUCUGUCCUGAGAAAAGUCAUUAGCCAAAUUAGGCAUAAGAUAAUGAGGGGCUGAGAAGAAGGUAAUAAGACGCAGGGGUGGUGAGGGGAACAUGGACAAGGAGACAGCUUUCUAUAAGGGUAGCUGACUGAAACAAUGGUACAGUACCUCGACUGAUGUAGAGCUAAUUAAAACUGCAUAGGACAAAACACUUGCAAAUAUACUAUAGGGAACAAUCCUUCUAUGGUAAACCCAUCCCCGAUGAAAUUCCAUUGACUUCAACAGGUUUUCAUCAGGGAUGAAUAUGGCCUGAUAACCUAAUAAUUCUUUUCUAUCUCUAAUUUCUAAGCACCUAUUGUCAGAAGUAUAGCAAGGAACUUCCGUCUGGCUUUUGAAAGUGCUGAACACUGAAAACUCCUUACUGAGGUCUCCAGGAAUUGCAGUACCACUGCACAUCAAAGCUGAAUGGACUGUUUAUUGUUUUGUUGUGAGUUUGCUUUCUGUACAGUGCCACCACAUCUGCAAAAAGAUCCUAACUUCACCUCCUAAACCUUUUGUGGCAGGAACUUUCUGUGCAUAGAUACCCCUCACACAGUGCAACACAGAGCUUAGCAAAGGCCUCUAGGCGCUGAUACAGUGAAAUGAAUUAGUAACAACAACAGUAAAUAAUAGUAAUAAAUUCAAAGUAUCUGCAUUUGUGAAGCAAUGUAGAAUAUUACUUGGGCUGGUUAUGUAUAGAUGGGCCUAUUUUUCUUAUCCAGUUUCCAGUUGAUCGCCCAUGAUCUGAUUUGUCAGAUAAAUUUCCAUUGUGUUCACGGUUUUUGUGAACUUACAAAAUUUGUCUUUUUAUGAAUCUGUAAAAGCCAUGUUUGGAGAUAGUCAAAAAUAAAAAUUAAUGCAUCUUAUUAUUGCCCGCAGCACAGACCAAGCGAC